Molecule: ribosomal RNA, 253 nt
Filed under: uncultured bacterium
Lineage: Bacteria
Description: partial 16S ribosomal RNA
Rfam family: Bacterial small subunit ribosomal RNA
Source: RNAcentral
UACGAAGGGGGCUAGCGUUGUUCGGAAUCACUGGGCGUAAAGCGCACGUAGGUGGACCGUUAAGUCAGGGGUGAAAGCCCGAGGCUCAACCUCGGAAUUGCCUCUGAUACUGGCUGUCUCGAGUCCGAGAGAGGUGGGUGGAAUUCCUAGUGUAGAGGUGAAAUUCGUAGAUAUUAGGAGGAACACCGGUGGCGAAGGCGGCCCACUGGCUCGGUACUGACACUGAUGUGCGAAAGCGUGGGGAGCAAACAGG